CGGUUGAUCCUGCCGGACCCGACUGCUAUUUGGGUAAGGAUUAUCCAUGCGAGUUGAAUGGGAUACCUAAAUAUCCCAUAGCAAACUGCUCAGUAACCCAUGAUCAACUUACCCUAUGGAGAAUCAUAACCUCGGGAAACUGAGGAUAAUGAUUCAUAAUUGAAAAAGCUUGGAAAAGUUUUUCAAUGAAAGAAAUAAGAACAAUGGUUCUUAUUUGCCAUAGGAUAGGAUCGUGGUCGAUUAUGGUUGUUGGUGAGGUAACGGCUCACCAAGCCUAUAAUCGAUAGGGGCCGCGAGAGCGGGAGCCCCGAGAUGGGUACUGAGACAAGGACCCAGGCCUUACGAGGCGCAGCAGGAGCGAAACCUCCGCAAUACACGAAAGUGUGACGGGGUUACCCAAAGUGUUCAUUUUUGAACUCUUGAAGGGGAGUAAUGUCCCCUACUAGAAAGGAGAGGGCAAGGCUGGUGCCAGCCGCCGCGGUAAAACCAGCUCUUCAAGUGGUCGGGAUGAUUAUUAGGCUUAAAGCGUCCGUAGCCGGUAUAGCAAGUUCCUAGUAAAAUCGGAUAGCUUAACUAUCCGUAUGCUAGGAAUACUGCUAUACUAGAGGGCGGGAGAGGUCUGAGGUACUACAAGGGUAGGGGUGAAAUCCUAUAAUCCUUGUAGGACCACCAGUGGCGAAGGCGUCAGACUGGAACGCGCCUGACGGUGAGGGACGAAAGCCAGGGGAGCGAACCGGAUUAGAUACCCGGGUAGUCCUGGCCGUAAACGAUGCACACUAGGUGAUGGCACGGCCAUGAGCCGUGCCAGUGCCGUAGGGAAACCGUUAAGUGUGCCGCCUGGGAAGUACGGCCGCAAGGCUAAAGCUUAAAGGAAUUGGCGGGGGAGCAC
RNAcentral lists this ribosomal RNA (889 nucleotides) under uncultured archaeon. RNAcentral describes it as "bacterial SSU rRNA". It matches the Rfam family "Archaeal small subunit ribosomal RNA", at positions 5 to 879 of the family's 1478-position model. The record is from RNAcentral.